Molecule: transfer RNA, 82 nt
Filed under: Janthinobacterium lividum
Lineage: Bacteria; Pseudomonadati; Pseudomonadota; Betaproteobacteria; Burkholderiales; Oxalobacteraceae
Also listed under: 4 other names
Description: tRNA-Leu
Rfam family: tRNA
About the family: Transfer RNA (tRNA) molecules are approximately 80 nucleotides in length. Their secondary structure includes four short double-helical elements and three loops (D, anti-codon, and T loops).
Source: RNAcentral
GCGGAAGUGGCGAAAAUGGUAGACGCACCAGAUUUAGGUUCUGGCGCUGAAAAGUUUGCGAGUUCAAAUCUCGCCUUCCGCA